RNAcentral lists this ribosomal RNA (301 nucleotides) under uncultured bacterium. RNAcentral describes it as "partial 16S ribosomal RNA". It matches the Rfam family "Bacterial small subunit ribosomal RNA", at positions 509 to 807 of the family's 1533-position model. The record is from RNAcentral.
CAGCCGCCACGGGAAUACGUAGGUGGCAAGCGUUGUCCGGAAUUAUUGGGCAUAAAGGGCUCGCAGGCGGUUUCUUAAGUCUGAUGUGAAAGCCCCCGGCUCAACCGGGGAGGGUCAUUGGAAACUGGGAAACUUGAGUGCAGAAGAGGAGAGUGGAAUUCCACGUGUAGCGGUGAAAUGCGUAGAGAUGUGGAGGAACACCAGUGGCGAAGGCGACUCUCUGGUCUGUAACUGACGCUGAGGAGCGAAAGCGUGGGGAGCGAACAGGAUUAGAUACCCGUGUAGUCCCUGUCUCUUAUAC